CAGUCGCCGCGGGAAUACGAAGGGUGCAAGCGUUAAUCGGAAUUACUGGGCGUAAAGCGCGCGUAGGUGGUUCAGCAAGUUGGAUGUGAAAUCCCCGGGCUCAACCUGGGAACUGCAUCCAAAACUACUGAGCUAGAGUACGGUAGAGGGUGGUGGAAUUUCCUGUGUAGCGGUGAAAUGCGUAGAUAUAGGAAGGAACACCAGUGGCGAAGGCGACCACCUGGACUGAUACUGACACUGAGGUGCGAAAGCGUGGGGAGCAAACAGGAUUAGAUACCCCUGUAGUCCCUGUCUCUUAUAC
This 301-nucleotide ribosomal RNA is filed under the name uncultured bacterium. RNAcentral describes it as "partial 16S ribosomal RNA". It matches the Rfam family "Bacterial small subunit ribosomal RNA", at positions 509 to 807 of the family's 1533-position model. The record is from RNAcentral.